GAUCAUGGCUCAGGAUGAACGCUAGCUACAGGCUUAACACAUGCAAGUCGAGGGGAAACGACAUCGAAAGCUUGCUUUUGAUGGGCGUCGACCGGCGCACGGGUGAGUAACGCGUAUCCAACCUGCCCAUCACUUGGGAAUAACCUUGCGAAAGUAAGACUAAUACCCAAUGAUAUCCCACGAAGGCAUCCGAAUGGGAUUAAAGAUUUAUCGGUGAUGGAUGGGGGAUGCGUCUGAUUAG
RNAcentral lists this ribosomal RNA (241 nucleotides) under uncultured bacterium. RNAcentral describes it as "partial 16S ribosomal RNA". It matches the Rfam family "Bacterial small subunit ribosomal RNA", at positions 15 to 244 of the family's 1533-position model. The record is from RNAcentral.